Trichonephila clavipes is the source of this 73-nucleotide non-coding RNA. Lineage: Eukaryota; Metazoa; Arthropoda; Arachnida; Araneae; Nephilidae. The record is from the annotation of a GenBank genome assembly.
GUCCCUGUAGCGCAAUGGAUAGCGCGUUGGACUUCUAAUCCAAAGGUCGUAUGUUUGAAUCCUUCCUGGGAUG